This 854-nucleotide ribosomal RNA is filed under the name Stenomelania aspirans. Its description in RNAcentral is "partial large subunit ribosomal RNA". It matches the Rfam family "Bacterial large subunit ribosomal RNA", at positions 1412 to 2564 of the family's 2925-position model. Lineage: Eukaryota; Metazoa; Mollusca; Gastropoda; Thiaridae. RNAcentral also lists the same sequence under 1 other name. The record is from RNAcentral.
UACACAAUGAAUAUAAAAUUAAAAACGAUUAAAGGAAUUACGCUCGUUAUUAAUUUGAGUUCUAUUGGACUCUUUUGAGGAUAAGCUCGAAAGUUGUUGUUGAGGACUAUAUAAUUUAAAAUUGCUGUGUGGGCCUAAAAUUAGCCAUCACAAGAGUUUGUUAUAAAAUAAUAAAAAGAACGUAAAAAUAUUGUUAUAUAGAGCACCACAUAAAACUAUAAGGAUAAUGGUCUGAACUAAAAGAUUUAAUACACCUAUGCUAGGAUGAGUAUUAUAAACCGCUUGAAUUGAAUAAAUAGUAUUUCCAGAAAAAAUAUCUUUUAUGCAAAUUAAAGAGAAGGAAUUCGGCAAAUGUUGUUUCGCCUGUUUAUCAAAAACAUGGCUCUUUGAAGGUAAAUGUAUAAAGAGUCGAACCUGCCCAGUGAAUAAUUUUAACGGCCGCGGUACCCUGACCGUGCAAAGGUAGCAUAAUCAUUUGCCUUAUAAUUGAAGGCUGGCAUGAAUGGUCUGACGAGAGCAACACUGUCUCCUCUUUAUUAUCUAAAAAUUAACCUAUAGGUGAAGAGGCCUAUAUAAAAUUGAAGGACAAGAAGACCCUGUCGAGCUUAAAAGAAAAGUAGAGGUUAGUUAUCAAAAGAGAUCAAUAAACUAUACAUAGCUUUUUAGUUGGGGCGACUAAGGAACAAAUAAAGCUUCUUUUAUUUUUAUAGAUUUAUGGAUUCGGAUCCAGCAAAGCUGAUCAGAAAAAUUAGUUACCGCAGGGAUAACAGCAUAAUCUCCUUUGAGAGACCUAAUCGAAAAGGGGGGUUGUGACCUCGAUGUUGGACUAGAAUAUCCUGAAGAUGCAGACGUCU